RNAcentral lists this long non-coding RNA (309 nucleotides) under Elaeis guineensis (African oil palm). RNAcentral's name for it is "long non-coding RNA (EGUI_LNC029424)". Lineage: Eukaryota; Viridiplantae; Streptophyta; Magnoliopsida; Arecales; Arecaceae. The record is from RNAcentral.
UAUGGGUAUCCACACGAGACUCUGAUCUGAUCAGAAGCUUUUUGAUCUCACGGAGUGCUAGCUCCCUUGCAGAGAUCGCAUCUUGAUGGUUAAAAAAUUUUUUUUCUCCUAAGACACUCUUAGAGAACAAGAAGAUGUAGGAAGAUCUUGAUCUCUACACUAGAGAUCAUGAGAAGAACCAUUUCUUCUUUUUUCUUCCUAAAAUUCAUGCACCAAAUCUCGAUAGUAGAGAUGUAAUAACUUUGUCCAACUUUUAGAUAAAGAAAGGAGGAGACAUCCAUGUCUAAACAUGGACAAGAGGGAGAAGAA